UGGGACAGUGCGCAGGACGAAAGCCAUCUGGUAGCUUUGCUUGCAAGACCAGAUUAAGAAAGCACCAGCACAAAAACCACAAAGGAGAAGAUGAAGCUGUAUUUCCGGAGGAAAGCAAAGAUUUCUACCCAAAGCUGAGCACCUUCUGGGCACACAUAGCUUCUGAAGAGGCCAGGUGUACAGCUGACUUGGGAUUGAGGGGUUCUCCACGUAGUGAGGAGUUUUGUUACAGAAAGAACGCAGACCGCUACCAUAUCUGCUGAAGUGCAGGUCUGCUGGUGUCACUAGAGAGGAAGGAGACCGCAAGAAGACAGCGGCCGGGGGGAUCUAGGAGAUGGAAAGGGUCCUGAAAAAUUCUAAUCUGGAUAAUCUCUGGAUACUGGACAAUGAAGCCCAGGUGUGCUCUAAAAAAAUGGAGCAAAAUUUGGUCCAACUCAUGCCAAUUGUGUUCAACAGUUUAUAGGAUAAGUAGAUCCUUUCAGGCUGUCAUAGUUCAAGCUCUUGGAAUGACCAGUAAUAUAUACUUAAACAUAUGACAAAACUUAAGGGAAAAGAGGGCCCAAGGCAUGCAGGGGAACUGAGCAUAAAGGCCAUUGUAUUUCAUGUAUGACUUGACUGUGUUUCAGUAAAGCAAUUUUAGCUCUAAAC
This 648-nucleotide long non-coding RNA is filed under the name Homo sapiens (human). RNAcentral's name for it is "HSALNT0246737". Lineage: Eukaryota; Metazoa; Chordata; Mammalia; Primates; Hominidae. The record is from RNAcentral.